RNAcentral lists this long non-coding RNA (16456 nucleotides) under Gossypium barbadense (sea-island cotton). Its description in RNAcentral is "long non-coding RNA (GBAR_LNC014561)". Lineage: Eukaryota; Viridiplantae; Streptophyta; Magnoliopsida; Malvales; Malvaceae. The record is from RNAcentral.
AGAGUUCAUUCUCAGCAAUAUAUGUGAAACUAAUUAGGAAUCAAACUGUCUUCAAUAGUUAGAUGGAGGUGGAGGUAUGAAAGGAAUGGAAGGCAAGCUGCUGCUGGGAAGUGGUGGAAGAAUAGUGAUAAGCUUAGGCUAAGAUGGUGGGAUUGUUGGUAGCUUUGGGAUUCAAGGCAAUAUAGGAGGAAGUGGUGGAAUUGGUACGCUGGGAAGUGGUGGAAGAAUGGGGGUAGGGUUAGGAAGUGGUGGAAUUGGUACUGGUACUCUAGGAAGUGGUGGAAGACUGGGGGUAAGGUUAGGAAGUGGUGGAAUUGGUAAUCUGGGAAGUGGUGGAAUUGGGAAUCCAGGAAGUGGUGGAAGAAUGGGGGGAAGUGGUGGAAUUGGUGGAAUUGGUGGAAUUGGUGGAAUAGUUACUUGCUGAAGAUUUCGAGCUGCUAGGCUAACCUCCAUGCUUGAAAAACCCAACAAAAUGAAACAAGCUAAUAAAAUGAAAACGUUGGAACCUGCCAUUUUUUUUGGAGAGAUGAACUAAAGAUUGAAGAUUUGAGUUGAGGUUUGCAUUGAGGAAAGCAGGAUUGCUUUUCAGGUAUUUAUAGCCACAUUUGAAAGACUUAAUUAAUUAUUUGUUUGAGAUAUUAUUCCCCUACUUAGCAUACUACCUUUUCUCACCCAUCUGUCAUCACCAACAAAAAGAAGAAGAAGAUAAAUUAGACUCAUCCUUAAACUUAAAAAUAUUCUGAAUGAGUCGAUUUGUCUAAUGUUAGUUAAAAAUUAAAUGCUUUUAAAUUUUGUGUGAACUAUAUCUUUCUAUUUCCAUUUACCUAAUGCCAGUUAAAAAAUAAAUAUUUUUUUAUAUAAUGAGUGUAUAUUUGACUUACGUAUGUGGCGCUCUAUUAAAAAAAAAAUUAAAUUAGGUGGAUCAAAUUUAAAUAUUAGAUAACUAUACAUGUUGGUACUUAAACUUGGUAUUUAAGAUUUUUUGUUGUCCAAUUAAAGGUUGAAUUUAAAUUAGAUAGUUGAACUUGAUUUCUUAGUUCAAAUUCCAAGCUUAGAUACCAAAAUGUUUGGUAUAAUAUUAAAUUAAAAAAAUUCAAGAUGUAAAAUACUAAUUUAACAUUUAAACUAGUUGCCCCAUACAGCUACAAUGGUAAUGAUAGAAGAAAAGUAAUUGAAUGGGAUUAGGAGAUGAAGAUCCUAGUAAAGCCACCUCUAGAGGUAUGAGAGUUGCGACCACUCUAUAAUUGAAUGCUACAAAAAUGGUUAUAUCUAGGAAUCUUUCGCCAUUAGCUAAUAAUGGAAAUAGCUAUGUAUCACUUAAAAAACAACAAUUCAUAUUUUCUUGAAAUAUAUUCAAAAAAUUGAAAAAUAUAAAAAAUAUCAUUUUUCUAAAAAUCCAAAAAUUUUAUGUGAAUAUCAACAAAUUCAGAAACUAAAAGAUAUGGAAAGCUUUAAAGUUUUUCCAAAAAGAUAGAAAUUUGCAGAAAAUUAGGUAUUUAAGAUUCCAAUAUUUUUAUUUCCCUUCUUUCCUGAUUGGAGAAAAUAUGAAUUAGGUGACGCCAUCGUUAACAAUUGGGGCAAGGUAAGACACGGUUGGAAACUUCAAGUAGGUGUAAUUUUGGGGAAAUAUUACAUUGUUUAAUAAUGAAUAUUGACAUGAUUUACCCUGAGUUAAAUCAAUUAUAUUUUACUUAUAUUUUCUAUACAAAUUUUAUACAAGCCUAAAUUAAUCAUAUUCAAUCAUAUCAAUCUCAAUAUUUUGAAUAAGAUAAUAAUAUUUUCUUAAAACUAUAACUAUAUAAAGUAUUGUAAAAAUAAUUAUUCAAUUAUACAGCUAUUUUAUUUGUAUAAUUAUAAUUAACAUAACCUUCUCCAUCAUAUAAUUAAAAUUUGUUCAACUUAUAAUUACAACAACUUUCCGUGAAGAAAAGAGAGAGACACAAAUACAAACUAAUGAGAUUAAAUAAAUCUCAAAUAUAAAAUAUUCUUCAAUAAACAUCAUUAAUCAAUCUCAAAAGAAACAAGAAAAGAAAUUCAUAAAUUAAACAAUAAGAAUAUAAUAUAACAAUCCAUUAUUUAAUAAAUUCAAAAAAAAAAAUCACAUUUAUAUUUUAAAUUUUAUUGGUCUAAUUUUAGAUAGGUUUAUAAACUUCAAAUGAUUUAAAAUAUUAGUGUCACGCCCCUAAAUAUAGGAAGGUUCAUUGAAAUGAAUAAAUAAGAAAUGUGUUGACACCAUUUUUUUGAUGAAAACGGGGUUGACUUGGAUUUUGAAAAUGAAAAUUAAAAUGACAGUCGCCACCAAUCCUUUUUGAUAAGGUGUGAUCGGAUCACCUUGAAAAGUGGUUGUUUUUAAUAAACGAUUUAAUUUUAUUAAAACAACGAGUUUGGUCCACGAAAUUCAGAAAAAUGGGUUCGGGAGUCGGUUACGUACGAGGAAGGAUUAGCGCCCUCGUGACGCCCAAAAAUUGGUACCUAGUUGAUUAGUUAAUGUCUUAAUGUCAAAAAUUGUAAACUUUGAAGAAUUUUAAAAAUACGAUCCUUAAUUUUUUUAAAAAGAAAACUUAUAUAAAUCAAGUUACUCGUUAAGACCCUCCCAUUUCAGAAAGAGAAAACGUCACGCCCAAUGCGUUAGGGCACGAUAUUUUACCUCUUCAGAAAUGAGCUUGUCUAAAAACUUACACAAUAAAAUUUUAAAGGGCAUUCAAUUGUUUAAGUCAUGUGAAAAAUUGCAACCCAAUACAUUAGGGCACAAUUUCUCAAAAUAUUAAACAUUGAAUAUUGCAUUUAUUUUGAAAAAUCCUCAUAUCCAAUGCGUUACGGCACAACGUACUGAAUUCUCGAUAAUGAGCUAUUUAUUUAUGUUUUUGUUUUAAAGAGCACCCUCGAUUAUUUAGAUCCAACGAAGAAAAUUGGAACCAAUACGUUAGGGUUCAAUUCUCUCGAAGAUCCCAAAUACCGAGUAUUACUUUUAUUUUGAAAUUUUCCGUUUUUGAUAAAUCCGAGUAAAAAUGGAUGCAAAAUAAUGAUAAUGAUGAUAAUGUAAGUAAAAUAACACGAGCAAAACAAAAUAUAAAUAAAUAAUAAGACUAAUAUAAAUACAAUCGUGCAGGCGCAAUAACAAAUAAGAAACAGAUAAAAACUAAAGCAAGAAAAAUAAUAAUAACAUACAUGUAAAUAAAUAACUGAACAAAAUUAACAAAAUUAAAAAAAAUAUAAAAGAUAUAUUUAUACAUAUAUAUGUAUAAAAUUAUGAAAAUAUUAAAAACAUAUGCAUGUACACAUUUUUGAAGCUAUUAUACAUGAAAAUAUAUGUAAGUAUAUAUGCACAUACAUGAAUACGUAUAGAACCAUCAUCAAAUAUAUAAAAGUAUAUAUAUAUAUAUGUAGGUAUAUAUGAAUCACAAAAUUUAAAGAAUAAUAUAUAUAAGAUAUAUAUUUUGGAAGUAUAAAGAAUAUGUAAGAAUUUAUAUAUACAUACAUUUAUAUAUGAAAAUGAAAUAUAUAGAUAUGUAUGUGGGUAUGUAUAAAUAUUAUAAAAUAUAAAAACAUAUAUGUGUACGCAUAUAUAUAAAAAUAUACAUAUGUAUAUAUACAUAUAUAUUAUGAAAAUAAAGCUAAAAAAAAACUAGUUAGUGUAUUAACAUAAUUGUAACGACUAAAUAAAGGAAAAUAAUAAUAAUAAUAAUAAUAAUAAUAAUAAUAACAUUAAAAUAAUUAACUAAAUAAUAAAAAUUGCUAAAAAAAGAUUAAAUCGAAAUAAAAACGAAAAUACUGGGCAAAUUCGAAAUAAAAAAAACGAAAAGGAUUAAAUUGCUACACGCAUCGAAAGAGGGAGACCAAAACGAUAAAUAAACCAAAGCCCCAAAACGCAGCGCUGCAACGGACUAAAAUGAAACAAAAGGAAAACUAUGUGGCUAAAUUAAAAUAAAAGAAAAUAAUGAAAAAGGGCCAAAUUGCAACUCGUUGCAAAGUCGGAGUGACUACGCGCGCAAAUAUCCCCUUUUAAGAAAACACGCGGAUCCUCCCCCAGGGUCGGGUCACCGAGCGGGUCAGGGCCAAAAUGGCGUCGUUUUGGCACCUGACCCUAAUGACAAAACGGCGCCAUUUCGUUUAGGGUAUUUAAACCUAAUUUUUCCCAAAAAACCUAAUUUCAGCCACCAUUUAAAAAAAAUAAAAAACUUUCUUUUUCUUUCAAAAAUCUGACUUUUGGGGUAAAAUUUUUUACUUUCUCUUGAUAUUUUGCGCGAAUAUGAAUUGUUUUUUUUUAAAAAAAUAUGUAUAAAAAUAAAAAUGAACGGGUAUAAAAAAGAAAAGAGAUGCGAAACUAAAAUCACAUUGGAGUGAAUCUGUUUGUUUUUUUUAAAUCUGUUUUUGUAUUAUUUAAAAGUGUUCUUACAAAAAAUCUAAAAAGGAACCCCCUAAAUUACAGAAAAAUUUGGCUUUUAUAGCCGAUUCUCCCCCCUCAUUCUUUGCUCUGUUGCUUUUCUAUUGCUUGCAGGGACUUGACGCGGUGCAUGUGGGGUGUCGGUGGCAAGUGGGGUGAUGGAACAUCCGACGGUGGCCGUGGCUGCUGGUGAUGCGACUGGUGUGCGGCGGCCAAGAGCUAGGGUUUCAGAAAAGCUGAAACCCUAGUUUGACUGUUGGGGUUGGGAUUUUGGGCCAAUUGGGUUAUUGGGCCUCGAGUUUGGGUUUGUAAUUGGGUUAAUUUAUUUUUUUUGGGUUUUAUGUUUGGGUUUAUUGAAUAUUGGGCUGAGGGUUAGUGGGUUAGGCCUAGGUGGGUUGGUUUGGGUUUUGGGCCCCGGGCUAAAAUUGGGCUUGUACAAAAUGAAUUAGGUUUAAUGGCUAAGUGUUAAAGAAUUCACCUUAGAGACUUAAGUUCGAGUUCCCUUCCUUCCUUUUUAUUUUUGGUAACUUGGUUUUAGGGUAAAGUCACACUCAAAAUAUAUACGACUAGGAAUUAAGAAUAAAUAAGAAAUGGGCAAUAGGUCCAAUGGUUAAGUGUUAAUCCCCUAUCUUAGAGAUCUUAGGUGUAAGUUUCCUUUUUCCCCUCCCAUUUUUCUUUUGGAUUUCGACAAUAAGGGGAAAUUUGCUGUGCCACCCCUAGGGUUUUCAAACCCGAGCUAUUUAAUCAUUCUUUUCCCAUUUGGAUUAGUUUUGCUUCUUUUCAAAUUCUUGUAAAAUUUCUACUCAUAUUAUAUUUCUCUUAUAUUUAUUUUCUUUUCCUUUCUUUUCAUUGUAACACCCUAAACUCGGUCGAAUAGGUUCGACCUAAAUUUGGAGAGCUACAUUAGCCACCGAAGUGACUUUCCAUUAACUCCCAAUCUAACCUCUAACACACCACUUACUUGCAACGUAUAUUAUGAUAAGUUAUAUCAUAACAAGGGUAUAAUAUAAUACAUAUAAUGUAAAUCAUGCAAGCUUAAAACCAAUGUAACACCCCAAACCCGGCUGAGUAGGUUCGACCCAAAUUUGGCGAGUUACAUUAGCCACCGAAGUGACUCUCCAUCAAUUCCCAACCUAACCUCCAACACACCACUUACUUGCAAUGUAUGUUAUGAUAAGUUAUAGCAUAACAGUGAAAUAAUAUCACAUAUAGAAUGUAAAUCAUGCAACCUUAUCAAACAAAAUGAGGGAACGGUUCGCAUGUUAAUUACUACGUAAGGCUACGUAGUAAGGUUAUCGCACCUAAGGGUUCACAAGCAUAUAGGGGGUCACAAACAAACAAAGGUCGCAGAAAAUAACACUUCGCAAAAAAAAUUGGCUCGCGUAUGAUGUUAAUACAUAUUUUGGAAAAAUUGAAAGAAUGCGACAUGGUACUCAUGCUAGGAGAAUUAAAGAAACAUCAAAGUAUAUUCAUGCAGAGAAGAAAUUAGUAAUAAAGGUUUAACUUCAUGGUUCGCAAAAUAUUAAAAGAAUAAACUUAAACUUUAGGGAAAUCGUUUCAUUAACAGAAUCAUAUAAUGAUAAAUCUAAACCUAUAUAAAUAAAACCCCAUCACCUAUUUCCCUAGGUUCGCAUUAUUUGUUCAGAGAUAGCCUCGCUAUUGCCAUUGGCGACUUACUUACCUGCAAAGUAAGAGAAGAGUGGGUGAGUUCAUUGCGAACUCGGUGAAUAAUCCGGAAUCAUCAACGUAUGAUUAAAAUACAGAGUUUAAAAUAGAAAGAAGACUUAGUAUGAAAAACUAUUGUAUCGCGUGUUGGGUUCGCAGUGAAUGCUAGGUUCGCAGUGAAUGUGCGAGACCCAGUUUAUAGAACCUGCUUGUCAUAAAAUCAUAUAAGUUUGAAAAUAGUUUUGCAUGUACUUACUGAAAAUCAUACUUAAAAACUUAGCUUGUUCUUGUUUGAAAAUGGAUCUUUUAUAGAAUGAAACAUGCUCACAUACUUAUCUUAUCGGAAUGGCUGAGGAAUAUAAAAUAUGUUCUUGCACUUUUCUUAACUUACUUAUAUUAUCUUGUCUUAUUUUGUUGGAUAUGUGGAUCUCUUUAUAACGCCUCAGAAUGACUCAAAGAGUCCUUAAGAUGUCCCAUAAGUGUAACAUAAGCUAAACACUCUCUUGUACACCAACAUGUCCUAUUGAAUGGAGCAUAGCUUGGCGUUCCCUUAUCUCUCCACAUGUCCCAAAGCCUCAAUGCCCAAAUCACAAAACUUAUUGGUGAGUACUCACAAUCCUUUGGUAUACAAAUAUAUCCAAUAUAUAAGCUCACAAAGGCACUCGUAUAGAAACUUAGCACAUAGAGCUAGAAAAAACAUAGCUUAUAGAACUGUAUUUUUAAAACAUGCUUUAAAACAUAGGCUUGCAUAGGAGCAUGCGUAACACAUAUCUUUAAAACAUAGCUUAAAACAUAUCUUGAAAACAAAUUAUCAGAACUUUUAAAAACAUAGUUUUAUAGGAAAAAAAACUUACUCUUGGAACUUAGUUUUUAAAAAAAAAAGAUUCUUAGAAAACAUAACAGUUCACACACAAGUUACGAAACCUGAGCAUUCAUACUAAAAAACAUGAUAGUUACCACACUUAUGGCAAUUCUUAACCACUCAUCGAUAAAACUGAAAAUUUAAAUGAGUUUUGCCUUGCCUUUAUCCUUGCUGUAGAUAGUCUGGUUGGUUCGUAACAUGCAUAAACACACAAAUUACUUCAAUAGACAAAACUUACGAACUUCACACAUGCAAGCGAACCUAGCUUUCUGGACAAUAAACCCUAAUAGGAAAAAUGCUUACCUUGGUUGCUACGAAUUUGGUUCAGAACAAAGACUUGACAACAAAAUAACGAUGAAAGAAUUUUUCCUAGAAUAAGGAUUGUAUUUAUAGGCACUAAGUAUCUUAGUGACCUUAGGAUACCCUAUUUGACUUAGGAACCCUCUACGGUUUAAAAGAAGGUUACGUGCACGAAAAGUAUCCUAGAUACACAAUAUAUUUAUUUCCUAAGUUUAGUCUAACUUGACUUUUGAUUGGCGAACCCCUAGUUUGUAACUCAAUUGUUGAACCCCAGCUCACUAAACAGAUUGGAGAACACAACUUUCAAUGAAUCUAGCGAACCUCUUACCACAUCAUUUGGCGUGCAGCAGUUUGCUAGAACACUGGCAAACUCCUUACUGGUAUCCCCUUUGGUGAACCCUAGUUUGCUGAAACACUAGUGAACCCUCACUUGUAAGGUCAAAACUUCUAGAUCAGGUUUCAGGAUGUUACAAACACCAUAUUUUUAUCAUAAUUGUUGUUGAUUAUUUUUCUUUCCUGAAUCAAAUCAUCUUUCAUUAAAUUAUUUUUCUAUUAGUUUUGUAAUUGUCGUCAAUAGCACCUCUAUAUUUGCCAAGAAACAAACCGAAUUUAGGUGAAUCAGACCGAAAUAAAGUGUGAAGAACAUCAACCGGAACUGUGGUGAAAGGUGUGUGUCUUUUCCAAGUGAAUCAGUGGUGAUCUGUGUACGAUUAAGGCCACAUGGGCUAUGCGUGUGGUCCACCAACUACCACACAACCAUGUGCACUUGUAGAUUUUAGGGACUUCAUGAACCAUACGGCCUCAGCCAGUUACACGAUCGUGUCUUUCCUGCAAGGUUUAUCAUUUUCCACAUGGAAUCAUGCUGUUACAUGACCGUCUAACCCUUACACAGGGUCUUACCCUUCUCACAUGGCCUGGCCAUACAGCCGUGUGACCCUGUUUUACAGUUUUGACCAAAAAUUUAUCAUAUGUUCAAUUUAGUCCUCGUUUAUCCCUUGAAUUAUUUUAGAGUUUUCAUUCACUCAAUUAAGUCCUUGAUAUUGUGUUUAUUCUAGAAUCUGUGAUUUAAUGACUAAAUUCCUAUUUUUAUAUUGUAUGAGAUGUGAAUAUUACAUGCCUACUGUCAUUGUAAUACUGAUAAACUAUUAAUGAUAAUAUUGUUACCACCCUAUUGAGUACAUGUUAAGCAUGUCUACUGCUAAUGUUGAACUGAAUACAUGAUAAGCAUGUCUAUUAUUAUUAUUUUUUGUAUUGUUCUAUUACAAAGCAUGCCAUAUUGCAUUGCAUGGGGUGGGACGAUAUGUAUGGAGAAAGGGUGACAGUUUAAUAAUCUGCAACCCAGUGGUGGCUCGUCCACAAACCCAAUGGCAGUUUAUCUGCAAAUGUUUUAACUAAAAAUACUGGUUGUUUAUCCGCAAUUUUUACAACGAAGUGGUAGUUUAUAUACAAAUCAGUGGUGAUUUAUCCACAACUCGGUGUGUAUGGAUGGAUGAGUUCUGGGGAACUCAUAGUGUGGUGUGUAGUGAAGUUGGGUAGGACCUUUUCUGAUAAACUGAAAUUGCAUUGCCAUUCAUAAACAUGUGCAUACAAACCAUGAAUUCUAAAUAUUAUAGUGAAGUGUUGAAUUGGAAAACCGAUAUUGUGAAUUGCUAUACGAUUGUGGUUAUUCUAAGAAUUGUUAUUUCGUAUGCUUUGACCACUAUGUUACACCGAUUUUCUUGUGAUAUGACUCACAUUGAGCUUAAGUUCACCCCCUUUUAAUUUCCAUCUUUAUAGAUAACCCACCAGGUUAGGACAUAGACACAACAUCUGGAAGGUCUUGGCUCAGAUAAAUUUUUUUAUUAAAAGUAUUUUAGACUUAUUAUUAUUUCUAUUAUUUGGAAUUGUAUUGUUUUAUUCAAACUUUGGCACGAGACUUAAGUUUUGAGUUUAUUUGACAUGCAUGAAAUUUAAUUUGAAUAUUAGGAUAUUGAAACAUGGAUUUUAAACUAAUUAUGCAUGAAAUUUUGGUUUCGCCAUCAUUAAAAAUAUUUUGAAUAUCAUUUUUCCGCUACGAUAUUAUGAAAAUAAGAAUUUGAAAAAAGUAAAUGAAUUGGAAAUCAACUUUUACUAAGUAAACUUUAAAAUCCAUUGUUUUUUGGAAACUUUUAUUUUUUAGUGAAAACAUGAUUACACGCAAAGUUUUUCUUCAAUAAUAAGCAAAUGUUUUAAACAACUGUUUUAUAAAAACUCCGAUAGUUGUAGUAGGCCAUUUCGGUAGCCAAUGCAAUCUUUUGAAUUCAGUCUUAACGUUUAGGCCGAGUUGAGGAAGUUACUAUUAGCAACUUAACAUUAAUUUGAACAUUAAAUGUUGGUCCAAACUUGACACGAAAUAUAUUUAGAAUACAUAAAUCAAAAAAUUAGUAAGUUGGCUACUUGGGUUAAUUUAUUGGUUUGACACAACAUAUCCUAUAGUAAUUCAAUGGGAUUAGAACAUCCCAACUCCUAGUUGAUUUAAUUGCUAGGUUAUCUAAGUCCACGCUUGCAAUUAUUGCUUAAAGCAUUUGUUUAAUAAAAUCUUAAAUUCCAAUGGAGGUGCUUUUUCAUAAUAUGAGGUAACCUAAGAAAAAGGAAAAAGUUGAACAUAUUGUUAAGUUAAAAUUGAACAAAUUAAGGCAAAGUGUACAAAUGGAGUGUCAUCAUUCAAAUCGGUCCUUCUCUUAAUUGUCAUAAGCCAAUUAGGUAAGCCAGAUUCUUUUAAUAAAAAGUAAAGAUUUCAUGGCAUCCCUAAAGCAUUGCAAAUUUUUUGUAAGCAUUAAAAUGGCAUUAGUUGGUACAAUACUGGUAUUGAUCUGUAUAUAUUGCUUCGGUUUUGAUCAGUACCAAAUAGUUUAUAUUUCGUUCAAUCAAAAUUUUGUUAUGUUUGAUUAUUUCGGUGUGUUUCGACCUAUUUUGGUCAAUAUCGGCUUGUACUAGCUAGUAUAAAAUUUGAUAUUUUAAACUAAAUUUUAAAAUUUUUUAAUCUUAAUUAUUUUAAUUUUGGCUAAAGGGUCUUCAAAGCCCUUGAACAUUAAAAUUUCAAUCAAUUAAGCCCAUCACACAUUAAAGUUAACGAUCAACCAUGAAAGAGCAACAAUAGCCAUUAUGAGCAAUUGUUUUCACCACGUGGCAUGUUAGACUGUACCACGUGACGAAAUAUGGUGUUUUAAAUUUAAAACCAUUAAAACUAUAGAAAAUCAUAAAAUAUUAAAAAAUUACAAAAGUUAUAAAAUUAUAUAAAAAUGAACAAAAUUAUAAAAAGUAGUAUAAAUGAUACAAAAAUUAUAUAAAUUAUUAAAAAAUUGCAAAAAGAAAACAUUAAAAAUAAGCUUAAAAUAAGAAUAUAUAAAAAAAUGUAAAAAAAAAAAAUUAGAAACUAAGUUUCGGAUACACAGCUCUGGCUGUAUUUUUCAUAAAUAAAAGCUUGGUUGAGAUUUUAGAUUUGGUAUAAAUACAAUAAAUAUAAUAUUUAUAGUAGUAAACAAGUGAAUGAAAUUAAGUAAUUGUGAUUGAGAUUCACCAUGAUUAUAUUUAUAGGAAUAAAAUAUUCCUAUAUAUAAUGAAAGUGUAAUUGAAUAAUAAAAUUCAUAUUAAUACAAGUUGCUUUAAAACAAAAGUAAAUAAUUUGAUAUUGAUCUUGUGAAACAAUUGAAUUUUGGUUUUGUUAUGGGAUUAAAUUAGCAAUUAAUCCUUUUUAAGAAUUUAGAGAACGAAUUAGAUAAGUUAGACAUAAAAGUAGAAGAGUAAAAAGAAAGGAAGUAGUGGGUAGAUUAACAUAAUUAGGAGUUUAAAUGAUAUGAUAAUAAUUAAAGCUUUAAUUUAGUUAAGGUAAUUAGAAAUGUUUGAUCAUAUUUUAGAUGUUAAUUGAAAUUAAACGAGUUAAUAGGUCGAAUACAAGUUUAUAUUUUAGUUAAGAUAAUUAAGAGUUUAACUAGAAUUAAAAAAAAAUAAGAAGCACAUUGAAUCGUCGAUGAAUUGAUUUGAUUCUAAAUCCAAACUCAAGAGAGUAGGAACAUAAUCCAUUGGAAACAACACUUUUAAGUUGUUUAAAUUUUUGAGAAAGAAAAACACUUUCAACCUUUUUUUUAAUCCCCACUCUAUCCACCAACCUACUCGUUGCUUUAUAAGUCAAAAUCGGGAAAUUAAAUAUUACACUAUUACUAAUUCGGUUAAAUUGGUUAAUUCGGUCAAAUGAAUAUUAUCGAUUUUUUGAUAUGUUUUUUUACUUGUUUUAACCAAAAAAAUAAAACAUAUAAAUUUCGGUUAAUUUGAUUAACCGGCCGAAUUAAUCGAAAUAUUUCGAUUUGGUUAAUGGUUAAAGAUACUAAUUCGAUUCGGUUAACUGAUCGGUUAAUUGUUUGAGCACCCCUAAAAAUAAGUCAUGGGACCAACAUACUGACUUCCAUACAAUUGUUAGGUAUAUAUAGCAACUCAUAAGUAUGAGUAGAAUUAGUACGCAGUACCUUAGAUUCAUUGAGCCACAUUUCAAAGUUUCCCAUGAUCUCUUUUGCUGUCAAUGAUAUAAUAAACUUUUUGUAUUCACAAUUAUGUUCACAAUAUAAAACAUAAUUGGUCGACUUGAAUACAAUUAAAUGAGACACUCUAAUGUUCUUUCCUUUUCCUCAAAUCUCUCUAUUUCAAUUCAACUACUCUCUAGAUAUGUCCCGUUAGAUUGAAUCAUACAUGAUCAUCGAUAGCCUACUAAAAUAGCUAAUAUUGAUGUAAAACUUCAAGAAACAGUUAAAGGUCAUGAGGGUACUUAGUAUAGAUCUUCAGUUGAUCUCAUGGGUUUCACACAACAUAGAAGCAGAGAUCAAAUCUUCUAUUACCCAUUUUGUUCGUAUAAUACACAUGUAGUAUGAAACACAUGCUAUGGUAUUACUCUCACUUUCCUUGAAGUGUAUGUCUUUAUCAAAAAAUCAAUACCACAUAGGUGAUAAUUCAAAUACACUUAGUAUCUAACUCGAGUCCACAACUUUAUUUUCUUAAUAGAUUCAACAACAAGACUUUCACCUGGAAUAAAAGACAUAUAAAGUGAAAAAUUCAUAUUUAAAUUAUCAAACAUAAAUCAAAUUGAUUAUAAUUAUAUCAUUUUGCAUAUAGCUCAUGUCGUGCAAGUGCACACUUUAGCCCCAACAAGUUUGGACCUAUGCCCUUCAUGCAUGCAAGGCAAGAUUCCAAACAUAAUCAUUCAAUCAUCAUUUAUGUGGGUUCUCAUAUAUAUACACAUCUCACACUUGGUAUUUAACCAAUGUGGGAUCUAAGCUUUUCUUUUCCUCAACAAAUAUUCACAAGUAGCUUACUUUGAGCACCAAUUUCUCAUUCAUCACUCAACCAUUUUGAGCAUAUGAUAUACUGUUGUAAAGGUCUCAUGGAGUAGAAUAUAAAAUCAUAAUUUUAUGAUUCAACUCUCAACAUUUACCAAUUAAAAAUAUGCCUCAAAGUUCCCAUAAAUUACAAAUUUUCCAACAACUUUUGAAUGCAUUAAUCAUUAUCAACAUUAACUCAAGUGAGGACAAGAAUAUAUUAUUCAACUUGCAAUCCUAGAGUUUUGACAUUCCUUUAAAAAAUCUCUAGGAAUCGGUUUUGUAAACUGAUUUGCAAUCCUCUUAUGCAUAGACUUUCUCUCUUGUUGUGAGAUUUACCUUCACACUUAUUUUUUCCAAUAUACUAACUUUAGAUAUUUGGAGUUUGGAGUUGGUCAAACAGAUGUAAAAGCUACCUUUUCCAAAUGAAAAUCUGGAAUUUACACAGACAAAGUAGAUUUCAUUGACAAAGGUGAAAUGCAUAGUCUGGGCAAGUUAUGAAGAUCAAUUUUAUGAUCUUAAGCGAUUUUCCAGAUAGUGAUAUGCUAUUUUUUUUAAUUAAGAAACUGUUUAGUUUGAUUUAAUCAUAAUUGAUAAAGACCACUUUACUCAUGUUAAAAGAAGGAAAGAAAAUUUUGUAACUAUGUCAUUUUAUGUGGGUGACAUGUUGUUGGCCGCAAAUGAAUUAGUGCUUAUCAUUAUGGGUUAUGCAAGACUACAUGUCAAUUCAUACGAAUGUGUCCUUUUUUCAAUGUUGUGAGUAGCAUCAUAUAUGUUAUGAUGUACAUAAAGCAAAGUAUCUCUUGUAUAGUUGGAUUCAAGACACUCCAAUCCAAACUCAUUGCAAAACAAUGAAAAUGAUAUUGAGGUAUUGAAAAGACACUAUGGAUUUUCACCAUGCUAUCUAAUUGUGAAUACAAAUACCUAUUAAUUAAAAGGAGAUUUAGAUGAAAUAUUGAAAUCUAUCUCCACACAUGUGUUCGUAUUUGAUAAUGGAGUGAACUCUUAAAGUAGUAAGAAAUAAACUUGUAUAGCAUGGUCUAUUAUUGAUGCUGAAAUUGGCAUUUUUAGCGAUGGUUCAAGAGAGUGUUUGGGUUAAAAUAAUCACGAUUAAUAUAGUUACGUUAAAGCAAAAUAUCUUCUAUAGUUGGAUUCAACAUAGUCCAAUCCAAACUUAUUGCAAAACAAUGAAAAUGAUUUUGAGGUCUUUUAUUGUUCUCUCUUGUAUAGUUUGCAUCUCAAGGCACUUUCUUGUUGAUUACGAUGAACAAAAAACGGUUGCAAGCUCUGGGACGAGCAAGAUCAAUAUCUUUAGAGAUCAAAUGAUGGUUAGUAUACAAAUUUAAAAACUAGUUUUUAUAAUUUCAUUUUCAUAUAGUUUUUAUUUAUUUUUUAUUAUAAAUUUUAUGCUUUUUAUAAUAUUUUAUAUGUUUUAGUAUUUUUACAAUAUUUUAAUAACUUUCUAUCUUUUUAAAUAUUUAUUACCAUUUUUAUUUUUAAUUCAAAUAAUUUAUUUUUUUCCAAUUUUCUAUAUUUUAUAAUAUUUUUAAUAAUAUUUUAUAUAUUUAAAUAUUUUUUCAUAAUUUUAAUUUUUUUAAAUUUUUCAUAAUUUAUAUGUUUUUUUAAUUUUUAUUUUAGUACUUUUUAAUGCUUUUCACAAUUUUUAAUAAUUUUUAUAAUUUAUAUUUUUUUUUCGUUUAUAAUCAUUUUUAUAAUUUAUAUAUAUAUCUGCAAUUUUAUAUAUUUUAUAAUUUUUGCAAUUUUUAUAUUUUAUAAAAUAAUUUUGUAAUACUCCAAACUCGGCCUUAACGUUAUGACCAAAUCUAGAGAUGCUAUGAAGAUACAUUAAAAAAAAUCUAGAAUCUGUUGAUUUUAUAAAAUGAUACUUGCCCUUAUUUAGUAAAAUCUGAGUUUAUUUGAGAAAUUUAUCGUUUUGAUGGGUUUGUCAAUUAUUUACUCAUAAAACUAGUCGAAUCCAAUUUGAAAACACGAUUUUUUUUGUUGUUGUAAAAUCCAUUAUUCAACAAUUCAAUUUUCAACCCACCAACGAGGAAAUCACACAGGACUUCCUGCUAACCUACCAUCUUUUUUCAAGAGUUCAAACCCAAUCCAACACCACCAACUCGACAGCACAUUAAGGGCUAACAAAAAUAAAUUAGAGACUCAAACGAUAAAUUAACAUCUUAUCGUUGAACUAGUAAACUCAUUCUAUCACAAAUUGAUCAAAAAUAGUAUUUAAGUGGUAAGGAACAAGAUAAGGAUAAAAGACAAAAAUAAUAAAAUUUCUUAAAAAUGAGAUUUGAACCCUAAUCAGUAAAACAAAUACUUAUUCAUGACAUAAAUUAACAAAUUAAAAAUUCAUAUUUUUGGGUCUUAAAAGUUUUUAAUAAAUUAUAAUUACUUGAUUCCAGUUUCUUUAUUAUGCCCAAAUUUAAGAUUAAGCCCUAUAUUUUAAUUUUGACAUAAUUUGAUUUAUUUAUUUUUAUAAUGUCAUUAGUUAUCUUAAAUCGCUAACAUUAUUAGCUAUGCCAAGUAAAAUAACAUCGCGUAUUUUUUUUCUUAAAAUCAUCACUUCUAACUAAAUAAUGGCUUAAUCACUUUUUUAACUAAUUAUACUAACAUAGAUUUUUUUUAGUUGGAACGAGUAUGUUUAAGGAAAAAUCACCUCAACACUUUACUUGAAAUUAGUAAUCACAUUAAUUAUUUGGACUAACUAAAUCAUUACUGAAUCACCUUCUAACUAAUUAUAGUAAUGUAUAUAUUUAAGAAAAAGCUCACUUUAAUGUUUUAACUGAAAUUAUUAACCGUGUUAAUUACUUAAACUAACUAAUGAAAAAUAUUUCAAAUUAAUUUAUACUGAAUAACUCUCAAAUCCAAGUAUAAUAAAAUAAUAUGACUAACUCAAACUUGGCGUUGAAUUGAGUUUGGGAGUAAAAUAAUCACAUCACUCAUUGGCAAAGCAUGACUGUGAUUAUGAUAUGGUUUUUCGAAGUAUAACUAUGGUGGAGUUGAUAGCAUUGAUUAGAAUACCUUUAUAAAUGAAUAUAUAACAUUUAAUCAUGUAUAUAUUUUUAAUAAUUUAAUAACUUAAAAAAACACCACACUUUAUUAUAUAUGUAAAAUGUAAAUAGAAGCUACAUUCUUAUUUCAUGAAAUAACAUCAUAGAGAAUGUGAUGGCAGAGUUCAUUCUCAGUAAUAUAUGUGAUACUAAUUAGGAAUCAAACUGUCUUCAAUGGCUGGAUGGAGGUGGAGGUGGAGGUGGAGACAUGAAAGGAAUGGAAGGCAAGCUGCUACUGGGAAGUGGUGGAAGAACAGUGAUAGGCUUAGGCUAAGAUGGUGGGAUUGUUGGUAGCUUCGGGAUUCAAGGCAAUGGAGGUAUGCAGGGUUGAGCUGAGAAUGAUGGUAGAUCUAGGAUUGAAGGCAAUGGAAGUAUGUUGGGCAACUUACGAAGUGGUGGUAGUUCUAAGUUCUGGGAUUGAAGGAAAUGGUGGUGGUUCUGGGAUUAAAGGAAGUGGUGACAUCGGAGGUGGCAAUGGUACCGGUAAAUAUGCAGAUGGCAAUGGUACUGGUAAAAAUGGAGGUGGCAAUGGUAUUGGCGACAAUGGAGGUAGCAAUGGUACUGGUGACAAUGGUAUUGGCGACAAUGGAGGUGGCAAUGGUAUUGGUGGAAAUGGAGGUGGCACUUGCUGAAGAUUUCGGGUUGCUAGGCUAACCUCCAUGCUUGAAAAACCCAAGGAAAUGAAGCAGGCUAAUAAAAUGAAAACGUUGGAAGCUGCCAUUUUUUUUUGGAGAGAUGAACUAAAGAUUGAAGAUUUGAGUUGAGGAAAGCAGGAUUGGUUUCGGGUAUUUAUAGCCACAUUUGAAGGAGUUUUUUAAUUAUUUGUUUGAGAUAUUACUCCCCUACUUAGCUUACUACCUUC